UACGUAGGGUGCAAGCGUUGUCCGGAAUUAUUGGGCGUAAAGAGCUCGUAGGCGGUCUGUCGCGUCGGAUGUGAAAACCCGGGGCUUAACCCCGGGCCUGCAUUCGAUACGGGCAGACUCGAGUGUGGUAGGGGAGACUGGAACUCCUGGUGUAGCGGUGAAAUGCGCAGAUAUCAGGAAGAACACCUAUGGCGAAGGCAGCACUCUGGGACGGUACUGACGCUGAGACGCGAAAGCGUGGGGAGCGAACAGG
RNAcentral lists this ribosomal RNA (253 nucleotides) under uncultured bacterium. Its description in RNAcentral is "partial 16S ribosomal RNA". It matches the Rfam family "Bacterial small subunit ribosomal RNA", at positions 524 to 776 of the family's 1533-position model. The record is from RNAcentral.